RNAcentral lists this ribosomal RNA (379 nucleotides) under uncultured eukaryote. RNAcentral describes it as "partial 18S ribosomal RNA". It matches the Rfam family "Eukaryotic small subunit ribosomal RNA", at positions 592 to 976 of the family's 1831-position model. The record is from RNAcentral.
CAAUAGCGUAUAUUUAAGUUGUUGCAGUUAAAAAGCUCGUAGUUGGAUUUCGGAUGGGAUCUGCCGGUCCGCCUUUGAGGUGUGUACUGGUAGGUCCUAUCUUGUUGUCGGGGACCAGCUCCUGGGCUUCACUGUCCGGGACUGGGAGCCGGCGAUGUUACUUUGAGUAAAUUAGAGUGUUCAAAGCAAGCUUACGCUCUGAAUAUAAUAGCAUGGGAUAACACGACAGGACUCUGGCCUAUCGUGUUGGUCUAUAGGACCAGAGUAAUGAUUAAGAGGGACAGUCGGGGGCAUUCGUAUUCCGUUGUCAGAGGUGAAAUUCUUGGAUUUACGGAAGACGAACAUCUGCGAAAGCAUUUGCCAAGGAUGUUUUCAUUGA